This 468-nucleotide ribosomal RNA is filed under the name uncultured bacterium. RNAcentral's name for it is "partial 16S ribosomal RNA". It matches the Rfam family "Bacterial small subunit ribosomal RNA", at positions 28 to 507 of the family's 1533-position model. The record is from RNAcentral.
GACGAACGCUGGCGGCGUGCUUAACACAUGCAAGUCGAACGGAAAGGCCCUGCUUGCGUGGGGUGCCCGAGUGGCGAACGGGUGAGUAACACGUGAGUAACCUGCUCUUGACUUUGGGAGAACUUCAGAAAACUGGGGCUACUACCGGACAGCAUCUCCCGCAGCAUGGUGGGCGGUGGAUAGUUUAGGCGGUUGGGGUUGGACGCGCGGGUUAUCGGCUUGUUGGUUGGGUAGUGGCUUACCCAGGGUUUGACGGGUAGCCGGCCUGGGAGGGUGACCGGCGACAUGGGGACUGAGGUACGGCCCAGACUCGUACGGGAGGCAGCGGUGGGAAAUAUUGCACAGUGAGCCGGAGCCUGAUGAGGCAACGCCGCGGUCGGAAUGACGGCCUGCGGGUUAUGAACCGCUUUCGCCUGUGACGAAGCGUGAGUGACGGUAAUGGGUGAAGAAGCACCGGCUAACUACGUG